Molecule: ribosomal RNA, 373 nt
Filed under: uncultured organism
Description: partial 16S ribosomal RNA
Rfam family: Bacterial small subunit ribosomal RNA
Source: RNAcentral
GUAGGUGGCAAGCGUUGUCCGGAAUUAUUGGGCGUAAAGCGCGCGCAGGCGGUCCUUUAAGUCUGAUGUGAAAGCCCACGGCUCAACCGUGGAGGGUCAUUGGAAACUGGGGGACUUGAGUACAGAAGAGGAAAGCGGAAUUCCAAGUGUAGCGGUGAAAUGCGCAGAGAUUUGGAGGAACACCAGUGGCGAAGGCGGCUUUCUGGUCUGUAACUGACGCUGAGGCGCGAAAGCGUGGGGAGCAAACAGGGAUUAGAUACCCUGGUAGUCCACGCCGUAAACGAUGAGUGCUAAGUGUUAGGGGGUUUCCCGCCCCUUAGUGCUGCAGCUAACGCAUUAAGCACUCCGCCUGGGGAGUACGGCCGCAAGGCUG